RNAcentral lists this ribosomal RNA (885 nucleotides) under Escherichia coli. RNAcentral describes it as "partial 23S ribosomal RNA". It matches the Rfam family "Bacterial large subunit ribosomal RNA", at positions 362 to 1251 of the family's 2925-position model. The record is from RNAcentral. Lineage: Bacteria; Pseudomonadati; Pseudomonadota; Gammaproteobacteria; Enterobacterales; Enterobacteriaceae.
GGGUGAUAGUCCCGUACACGAAAGCACACUUGCUGUGAACUCGAAGAGUAGGGCGGGACACGUGGUAUCCUGUCUGAAUAUGGGGGGACCAUCCUCCAAGGCUAAAUACUCCUGACUGACCGAUAGUGAACCAGUACCGUGAGGGAAAGGCGAAAAGAACCCCGGCGAGGGGAGUGAAAAAGAACCUGAAACCGUGUACGUACAAGCAGUGGGAGCCUCUUUAUGGGGUGACUGCGUACCUUUUGUAUAAUGGGUCAGCGACUUAUAUUCUGUAGCAAGGUUAACCGUAUAGGGGAGCCGAAGGGAAACCGAGUCUUAACUGGGCGUUAAGUUGCAGGGUAUAGACCCGAAACCCGGUGAUCUAGCCAUGGGCAGGUUGAAGGUUGGGUAACACUAACUGGAGGACCGAACCGACUAAUGUUGAAAAAUUAGCGGAUGACCUGUGGCUGGGGGUGAAAGGCCAAUCAAACCGGGAGAUAGCUGGUUCUCCCCGAAAGCUAUUUAGGUAGCGCCUCGUGAACUCAUCUUCGGGGGUAGAGCACUGUUUCGGCUAGGGGGCCAUCCCGGCUUACCAACCCGAUGCAAACUACGAAUACCGAAGAAUGUUAUCACGGGAGACACACGGCGGGUGCUAACGUCCGUCGUGAAGAGGGAAACAACCCAGACCGCCAGCUAAGGUCCCAAAGUCAUGGUUAAGUGGGAAACGAUGUGGGAAGGCACAGACAGCCAGGAUGUUGGCUUAGAAGCAGCCAUCAUUUAAAGAAAGCGUAAUAGCUCACUGGUCGAGUCGGCCUGCGCGGAAGAUGUAACGGGGCUAAACCAUGCACCGAAGCUGCGGCAGCGACGCUUAUGCGUUGUUGGGUAGGGGAGCGUUCUGUAAGCCGU